GAGCCUGCAUUUCCAGCUUAUUCGAGGAC
This 29-nucleotide non-coding RNA is filed under the name Mus musculus (house mouse). The record is from RNAcentral. Lineage: Eukaryota; Metazoa; Chordata; Mammalia; Rodentia; Muridae.